Molecule: ribosomal RNA, 409 nt
Filed under: bacterium
Lineage: Bacteria
Description: partial 16S ribosomal RNA
Rfam family: Bacterial small subunit ribosomal RNA
Source: RNAcentral
UGGGGAAUAUUGCACAAUGGGCGAAAGCCUGAUGCAGCGACGCCGCGUGAGGGAUGACGGCCUUCGGGUUGUAAACCUCUUUCAGCAGGGACGAAGCGCAAGUGACGGUACCUGCAGAAGAAGCACCGGCUAACUACGUGCCAGCAGCCGCGGUAAUACGUAGGGUGCAAGCGUUGUCCGGAAUUACUGGGCGUAAAGAGUUCGUAGGCGGUUUGUCGCGUCGUUUGUGAAAACCAGCAGCUCAACUGCUGGCUUGCAGGCGAUACGGGCAGACUUGAGUACUGCAGGGGAGACUGGAAUUACUGGUGUGGCGGUGAAAUGCGCAGAUAUCAGGAGGAACACCGGUGGCGAAGGAGGGUCUCUGGGCAGUAACUGACGCUGAGGAACGAAAGCGUGGGUAGCGAACAGG